GACGAACGCUGGCGGCGUGCUUAACACAUUCAAGUCGAACGGUGAAGCGCCUUUCUUUUUGGUGGGUGUGGAUGAGUGGCGAACGGGUGAGUAACACGUGAGUAACCUGCCCCCUUCUUCUGGAUAACCGCAUGAAAGUGUGGCUAAUACGGGAUAUUCUGGGUCUGCCGCAUGAUGGGUCUGGGAAAGAUAUUGUUUCGGUGGGGGAUGGGCUCGCGGCCUAUCAGCUUGUUGGUGGGGUGAUGGCCUACCAAGGCGGUGACGGGUAGCCGGCCUGAGAGGGUGGACGGUCACACUGGGACUGAGACACGGCCCAGACUCCUACGGGAGGCAGCAGUGGGGAAUAUUGCACAAUGGGCGCAAGCCUGAUGCAGCGACGCCGCGUGAGGGAUGGAGGCCUUCGGGUUGUGAACCUCUUUCGCCAGUGAAGCAGGCCUGCCUCGUUUGUGGGUGGGUUGACGGUAGCUGGAGAAGAAGCGCCGGCUAACUACGUG
This 494-nucleotide ribosomal RNA is filed under the name uncultured bacterium. RNAcentral's name for it is "partial 16S ribosomal RNA". It matches the Rfam family "Bacterial small subunit ribosomal RNA", at positions 28 to 507 of the family's 1533-position model. The record is from RNAcentral.